GUGAUACAUAUAAUGCCUUCUAUUCACUGUGUAGUCCGUGUUACAGGUGGACGAUCAGAGGGGAAAAGAAGAGCUAGAAUAACACCCUUUUAGUAAAUUGAGACAAAAUUAUUUAUAAUUUUGCCUUCUAUUUGCCUUUAGGUGUCAUGAGCGUACCUCAUACUGUCAAUAGCAAAUUAAUUUAUACGUUUUAACACCAUGGCUAUAGUCGGUAUCUGCGCAAGUGAUAUAUCU
This 234-nucleotide small nucleolar RNA is filed under the name Maudiozyma saulgeensis. RNAcentral describes it as "Kazachstania saulgeensis Small nucleolar RNA snR8". It matches the Rfam family "Small nucleolar RNA snR8". Lineage: Eukaryota; Fungi; Ascomycota; Saccharomycetes; Saccharomycetales; Saccharomycetaceae. The record is from Rfam by way of RNAcentral.